This 1211-nucleotide ribosomal RNA is filed under the name metagenome. RNAcentral's name for it is "bacterial LSU rRNA". It matches the Rfam family "Bacterial large subunit ribosomal RNA", at positions 1564 to 2785 of the family's 2925-position model. The record is from RNAcentral.
UGAAUACGAGACGCUACGGCGUCGAAGCAGUCUAUGUCAUACUUCCAAGAAAAGCUCGCAAUGUCAUAAACAAAUAAUGCCUGUACCAUAACCGACACAGGUGGGUAGGUAGAGUAUACUAAGGGGCGCGAGAUAACUCUCUCUAAGGAACUCGGCAAAAUGACUCCGUAACUUCGGGAGAAGGAGUGCCUUAUUUAUAAGGUUGCAAUAACAAGAUCCAAGCAACUGUUUAUCAAAAACACAGGUCUCCGCUAAGUCGUAAGACGAUGUAUGGGGGCUGACGCCUGCCCAGUGCCAGAAGGUUAAAGAAGUUGGUUAGCAUUCGCGAAGCUGAUAACUGAAGCCCUGGUGAACGGCGGCCGUAACGAUAACGGUCCUAAGGUAGCGAAAUUCCUUGUCGGGUAAGUUCCGACCCGCACGAAAGGCGUAAUGAUUUGGAUACUGUCUCGGAGAGGGGCUCGGUGAAAUAGACUUGUCUGUGAAGAUGCGGACUACCUGCACCUGGACAGAAAGACCCUAUGAAGCUUUACUGUAACUUGAAAUUGAAAUUGGACUUUAUUUGCGCAGCAUAGGUGGGAGGCGUCGAGAGUAUUCUUGCGGGAAUAUUGGAGCCAUCAGUGAGAUACCACUCUUGUAAUGUUAGAUUUCUAACUUUGGAUCAUUAUCUGGCCAAAGAACAGUUUCAGGCGGGCAGUUUGACUGGGGCGGUCGCCUCCCAAAUGGUAACGGAGGCGUACAAAGGUUUCCUCUGAACGGGUAGAAAUCGUAUCUAGAGUGUAAAGGCAUAAGGAAGCUUGACUGUGAGACCUACAAGUCGAGCAGGGACGAAAGUCGGUCUUAGUGAUCUGACGGUGCUGAGUGGAAAGGCCGUCACUCAACGGAUAAAAGUUACUCUAGGAUAACAGGCUGAUCUCCCCCAAGAGUUCACAUCGACGGGGAGGUUUGGCACCUCGAUGUCGGCUCAUCGCAUCCUGGGGCGGUAGUACGUCCCAAGGGUUGGGCUGUUCGCCCAUGAAAGCGGUACGCGAGCUGGGUUCAGAACGUCGUGAGACAGUUCGGUCCAUAUCCGGUGUAGGCGUUAGAAUAUUGAGAGGAGCCUUCUUUAGUACGAGAGGACCGAGAAGGACAUACCUCUGGUGUACCAGUUAUCGUGCCAACGGUAAACGCUGGGUAGCUAUGUAUGGAGAGGAUAACCGCUGAAAGCAUCUAAG